AUUGAACGCUAGCGGGACGCUUUACACAUGCAAGUCGAACGGAAUGGCGGACGGGUGAGUAAUAUAUCGGACCGUGCCCAGUAGCGGGGGAUAACUACUCGAAAGAGUGGCUAAUACCGCAUAAUAUUGACGCGGCCGAUAUCGGAAUAGCGAGUGGUUGGGGUAAAGGAUCACCAAGGCAACCAUCCGGAGCUGGUUUGAGAGGCCGACCAUCCCCACUGGGACUGAGACACGGCCCAGACUCCUACGGGAGUCAGCAGUGGGUAAUUUUGGACAAUGGGGGAAACCCUGAUCCAGCCAUCCCGCGUGUAUGAUGAAGGCCUUCGGGUUGUAAAGUACUUUUGGCAGAGAAGCGGUAUCUGCAGAAUAAGCACCGGCUAACUACGUGCCAGCAGCCGCGGUAAUAC
Molecule: ribosomal RNA, 407 nt
Filed under: uncultured bacterium
Lineage: Bacteria
Description: partial 16S ribosomal RNA
Rfam family: Bacterial small subunit ribosomal RNA
Source: RNAcentral